GCAUAUCAAUAAGCGGAGGAAAAGAAACCAACAGGGAUUGCCCUAGUAACGGCGAGUGAAGCGGCAACAGCUCAAAUUUGAAAUCUGGCUUCGGCCCGAGUUGUAAUUUGCAGAGGAUGUUUAUGGUGCGGUACCUUCCGAGUUCCCUGGAACGGGACGCCACAGAGGGUGAGAGCCCCGUCUGGUUGGAUACUAAACCUGUGUUAAACUCCUUCAACGAGUCGAGUAGUUUGGGAAUGCUGCUCUAAAUGGGAGGUAAAUCUCUUCUAAAGCUAAAUACUGGCCAGAGACCGAUAGCGCACAAGUAGAGUGAUCGAAAGAUGAAAAGCACCUUGAAAAGGGGGUUAAACAGUACGUGAAAUUGUUGAAAGGGAAGCGUUUAUGACCAGACUUGUGUCGUGUGGCUCAUCCGAGGUUCUCCCCGGUGCACUCCACGCGGCUCAGGCCAACAUCGGUUCUUGUUGGAGGAUAAGAACAGUAGGAACGUAGCUCUCCUUCGGGGGAGUGUUAUAGCCUAUUGUACGAUACUCUGACGGGGACCGAGGACCGCGCUUCGGCUAGGAUGUUGGCGUAAUGGUCAUUAGCGACCCGUCUUGAAACACGGACCAAGGAGUCGUCCAUUAGAGCGAGCGUUUGGGUGUAAAACCCGCACGCGUAAUGAAAGUGAAAUUAGGUGAGAGCUUCGGCGCAUCAUCGACCGAUCCUGAAGUUUACGGAUGGAUUUGAGUAAGAGUUUUAACGGACGGACCCGAAAGACAGUGAACUAUGCUUGAAUAGGGUGAAGCCAGAGGAAACUCUGGUGGAGGCUCGCAGCGGUUCUGACGUGCAAAUCGAUCGUCAAAUUUGAGCAUGGGGCGAAAGACUAAUCGAA
RNAcentral lists this ribosomal RNA (871 nucleotides) under Plagiostoma pulchellum. RNAcentral's name for it is "LSU rRNA". It matches the Rfam family "Eukaryotic large subunit ribosomal RNA", at positions 38 to 939 of the family's 3401-position model. The record is from RNAcentral. Lineage: Eukaryota; Fungi; Ascomycota; Sordariomycetes; Diaporthales; Gnomoniaceae.